GACGAACGCUGGCGGCGUGCCUAAUACAUGCCAGUAGAACGCACAGUUUAUACCGUAGCUUGCUACACCAUAGACUGUGAGUUGCGAACGGGUGAGUAACGCGUAGGUAACCUGCCUGGUAGCGGGGGAUAACUAUUGGAAACGAUAGCUAAUACCGCAUAAUAUUGAUUAUUGCAUGAUAAUUGAUUGAAAGAUGCUAUUGCAUCACUACCAGAUGGACCUGCGUUGUAUUAGCUAGUAGGUGAGGUAACGGCUCACCUAGGCGACGAUACAUAGCCGACCUGAGAGGGUGAUCGGCCACACUGGGACUGAGACACGGCCCAGACUCCUACGGGAGGCAGCAGUAGGGAAUCUUCGGCAAUGGACGAAAGUCUGACCGAGCAACGCCGCGUGAGGGAAGAAGGUUUUCGGAUCGUAAAGCUCCGUUGUAAGAGAAGAACGGGUGUGAGAGUGGAAAGUUCACACUGUGACGGUAUCUUACCAGAAAGGGACGGCUAACUACGUG
This 505-nucleotide ribosomal RNA is filed under the name uncultured bacterium. Its description in RNAcentral is "partial 16S ribosomal RNA". It matches the Rfam family "Bacterial small subunit ribosomal RNA", at positions 28 to 507 of the family's 1533-position model. The record is from RNAcentral.